CCUACGGGUGGCAGCAGUGGGGAAUAUUGGACAAUGGGCGAAAGCCUGAUCCAGCCAUGCCGCGUGUGUGAAGAAGGCCUUCGGGUUGUAAAGCACUUUCAGUGGGGAAGAAAGCCUUGGGGCUAAUACCCUCGAGGAAGGACAUCACCCACAGAAGAAGCACCGGCUAACUCCGUGCCAGCAGCCGCGGUAAUACGGAGGGUGCGAGCGUUGAAUCGGAAUUACUGGGCGUAAAGCGCGCGUAGGCGGUCUGAUAAGCCGGUUGUGAAAGCCCCGGGCUCAACCUGGGAACGGCAUCCGGAACUGUCAGGCUAGAGUGCAGGAGAGGAAGGUAGAAUUCCCGGUGUAGCGGUGAAAUGCGUAGAGAUCGGGAGGAAUACCAGUGGCGAAGGCGGCCUUCUGGACUGACACUGACGCUGAGGUGCGAAAGCGUGGGUAGCAAACAGGAUUAGAUACCCUAGUAGUC
This 466-nucleotide ribosomal RNA is filed under the name Vreelandella stevensii. RNAcentral's name for it is "partial 16S ribosomal RNA". It matches the Rfam family "Bacterial small subunit ribosomal RNA", at positions 338 to 795 of the family's 1533-position model. Lineage: Bacteria; Pseudomonadati; Pseudomonadota; Gammaproteobacteria; Oceanospirillales; Halomonadaceae. The record is from RNAcentral.